UACGGAGGAUGCGAGCGUUAUCCGGAUUUAUUGGGUUUAAAGGGUGCGUAGGCGGACGCUUAAGUCAGCGGUAAAAUUGCGGGGCUCAACCUCGUCGAGCCGUUGAAACUGGGUGCCUUGAGUGGGCGAGAAGUACGCGGAAUGCGUGGUGUAGCGGUGAAAUGCAUAGAUAUCACGCAGAACUCCGAUUGCGAAGGCAGCGUACCGGCGCCCAACUGGCGCUGAAGCACGAAGGCGUGGGUAUCGAACAGG
Molecule: ribosomal RNA, 252 nt
Filed under: uncultured bacterium
Lineage: Bacteria
Description: partial 16S ribosomal RNA
Rfam family: Bacterial small subunit ribosomal RNA
Source: RNAcentral